Molecule: non-coding RNA, 948 nt
Organism: Camellia sinensis
Lineage: Eukaryota; Viridiplantae; Streptophyta; Magnoliopsida; Ericales; Theaceae
Source: RefSeq, a predicted model, not a curated record
UGCAGCCACCUGAAUCAACUUAUGAUCUUAUGAUCAAAGAUGACCUAGAAAGUUCACAAGCAUUGUCAUGCUUGCAGAUUGAGAUAGUGGUUUAUGCUUGUCAGAGACAUGUCCAGCACCUUCCAGAUGGUGCCAGGGUAGUUUUUCUAUCGGAGAUGGAGCUGGUGUGGGCAAAGGACGAACAAUUGCAGGGUUGAUCUUCGAGAACAUGGGAGGAGGAAAUCAUUGUGGAACUUCAAUUCCAUGGCAGUGUUGAUGUAAACGAGAAGGAUGCAAUAUUCAAUUAUCGAAGGAAAUAUCUUCCUACACAGCAUGCAUGACAAAUUGCAUGCUAUUUGUUCCAAUUCUAAUGGUGUUAGUUUAAAUGCAAGCAUUUUAUAGUUUUGAGGGUGCAUGAAGUUGCCAUUGUUCAUGAGUUAUUGGCUAGAGGUCAUCUGCUUUUAUACUUUUAUUUAGGGUAGUCUUUAGCAUUGCUUUUAUUGAUUUAGUUAGUUAUCUGUUGCGUUGGAUUAUUUAGUACGAUAUGUUUUAUAUACAUGCUGGAAUAUUGAUUUCCUUGCGUUUCUCUAGAUUAGUGGGAUGGAGCAAACCAACUUCUUAUUUCAGCAAGCUUCAAAGAAUGAGUGUGGUGAUAUGCAAGGUUGCUUUUGUUAGUGUCGUCAAAUUGGCAGAUCUAAAGAAGAAUGCUGAUGAACAAGAUUUCUAGGGUGUGAGAAAUAUGAAACAAUUUGAAGAGCAUGUAGGUAAAGGGCCAUCAAGAUGCUAACUGUAAAUUUGACCCUUGUGCGCUAAAGUUUUCCGUUUCUUAAAAAAGAAAAUCAAGUAAUUAGAACAAAUUUAUUAAGUUGAGUUGAGUUUAGCUGGUGAACUUUUUUACUCAUAUAUAUAUAUAUAUAUGGAUGAUAAUUCAUUCUGAAUAAACUGAAUGUUAAGAACCUUAGAAUAUGU